GAUGAACGCUGGCGGCGUGCUUAACACAUGCAAGUCGAACGAAGCACUCAUGCGUUUUCGGACAAAUGAGUGACUGAGUGGCCGACGGGAGAGUAACGCGUCGGGAACCUUGCUCAUACAGGGGGAUAACAGCUGGAUACGGCUGCGAAUACCUCAUAAGCGCACAGUAUCGCAUGAUACUGGGUGAAAAACUCCGGUGGUAUGAGAUUGACCCGCGUCUGCUUAGCUAGUUGGUGAGGUACGGGCCCACCAAGGCGACGGGCAGUAGCCGACGUGAGAGGGCGACCGGGCACAUCGGGACUGCGACGCGGCCCAAACUCCUACGGGAGGCAGCAGUGGGGAAUAUUGGACAAUGGGCGCAAGCCUGAUGCAGCCAUGCCGCGUGAGUGAUGACGGCCUUAGGGUUGUAAAGCUCUUUCGCCCACGACGAUAAUGACGGUAGUGGGGGAAGAAGCCCCGGCUAACUUCGUGCCAGCCGCCGCAGUAA
RNAcentral lists this ribosomal RNA (487 nucleotides) under uncultured bacterium. Its description in RNAcentral is "partial 16S ribosomal RNA". It matches the Rfam family "Bacterial small subunit ribosomal RNA", at positions 28 to 523 of the family's 1533-position model. The record is from RNAcentral.